CAAGACAUCAGCUGUACUGUGGAACACCUUGGAAAGACUACGACUAAAUCACUUCCAGUUCCAGUUCCAUCCAGGUCACCAACUGUCAGCUUGGUGCCAGUAAUCACCUCUGAAAGCUGGAGAAUGAUGUGUGUCAUUGAAAACUUUUCCCCCAAAAACCUGUCGGUAACAUGGAAAGAGGGUGAGACUGUAAUUGAAAAGAAGGAACCAGAGUUGGUUCAGAAAGACUCCAGAGGUUACUGGAAAGCGCAGAGUUUUCUGAGCCUAAAUAAAACUGCACAGGACAAGAAUCUUCACUACACGUGUGAAGUGUCUCAUUCUGGCAAGACCUUCAGUCAAACAAGACAAUUGAAAGUCCACUUCUCAGUAGAGCUAACUCCCCCAUCAUCAAGAGAUAUUUUCCUCAACAAUAAAGCAGUUCUGGAGUGCGUCACCAUGGGAACAGACUCAGCAGCUGUGAAUGAUGCUAAAGUAACAUGGAAGGUGGGAGGAGGAGAUCAGAGUAGCAGAGCUGAACAAGGCACCCUUAAAGCCCUCGAUGGUCAGUUUAGUAAGGUCAGCAAACUGGAGGUGGACAUGUCUGACUGGUUCUCUGGAAAAGAGGUUGAGUGCCUCGUGUAUGACAAGACUGAGGGCAAAAACAUUGUGGGAAAGAAGAAAAUAAAGCAAGGUGGAGCGGCUCCUGAAGUGUUUAUCUACACCCUCCCUGAAGCCAAAGACCCAAACCAUGUUUCUCUGGUGUGUGAGGUCAGGGGCUCUUCUCUUGGUGAUGUGUAUAUCAUGUGGCAGGUUGGUGGAGGACAGUACCAGGAGGGAAAGACAGCCCUCCUGAAACAAGAUGAUGGCAACAUGUCACUUGUCAGUGAGCCUGAGGUACCAGAUGAAGUGGUGGCCUUGCACUGCACUCAGAGUGAGGAUGAGGAGGGGGACGAGUACACCAGCCUGUGGUCCACUGCCACCUCCUUCAUAUUCCUCUUCCUCUUCUCUCUCGUCUACAGUGCUAUCCUCAGCCUUGCCAAGUGUGUGGGGGCGAAGAUGGAGAGAAAGGGCGGUAAGAAACCCCUGCAGUUCAAAAGAGGCCCUGAAGGCAUCUUAGAAGAGAGCCUGGUAGAGAAUGGGUGA
This is a non-coding RNA of Clupea harengus (Atlantic herring), 1122 nucleotides long. The record is from the annotation of a RefSeq genome assembly. NCBI's taxonomy places the organism in Eukaryota, Metazoa, Chordata, Actinopteri, Clupeiformes, Clupeidae.